CCUACGGGUGGCAGCAGUGAGGAAUAUUGGUCAAUGGGCUUACGCCUGAACCAGCCAAGUAGCGUGAAGGAAGACUGCCCUAUGGGUUGUAAACCUCUUUUGUCAGGGAGUAACGCCGGCUACGUGUAGCUGGUCUGAGGGUACCUGUAGAAAAGCAUCGGCUAACUCCGUGCCAGCAGCCGCGGUAAUACGGAGGAUGCGAGCGUUAUCCGGAUUUAUUGGGUUUAAAGGGAGCGUAGGCGGAAUGUUAAGUCAGUUGUGAAAUGUUGCGGCUCAACCCUAGAACUGCAGUUGAUACUGGCGGUCUUGAGUGGGCGAGAGGUAUGCGGAAUGCGUGGUGUAUCGGUGAAAUGCUUAGAUAUCACGAAGAACUCCGAUUGCGAAGGCAGCAUAC
RNAcentral lists this ribosomal RNA (394 nucleotides) under uncultured bacterium. RNAcentral's name for it is "partial 16S ribosomal RNA". It matches the Rfam family "Bacterial small subunit ribosomal RNA", at positions 338 to 729 of the family's 1533-position model. The record is from RNAcentral.